UACGAAGGGGGCUAGCGUUGUUCGGAAUUACUGGGCGUAAAGCGCGCGCAGGCGGUCUUCCAAGUCAGUGGUGAAAGCCUGGAGCUCAACUCCAGAACUGCCAUUGAAACUGUUAGACUUGAGUACGAGAGAGGUGAGUGGAAUUCCCAGUGUAGAGGUGAAAUUCGUAGAUAUUGGGAAGAACACCGGUGGCGAAGGCGGCUACACUGGCUCGUAACUGACGCUCAGGCGCGACAGCGUGGGGAUCAAACAGG
RNAcentral lists this ribosomal RNA (254 nucleotides) under uncultured bacterium. RNAcentral's name for it is "partial 16S ribosomal RNA". It matches the Rfam family "Bacterial small subunit ribosomal RNA", at positions 524 to 776 of the family's 1533-position model. The record is from RNAcentral.